Molecule: ribosomal RNA, 499 nt
Filed under: uncultured bacterium
Lineage: Bacteria
Description: partial 16S ribosomal RNA
Rfam family: Bacterial small subunit ribosomal RNA
Source: RNAcentral
GACGAACGCUGGCGGCGUGCCUAAUACAUGCAAGUCGAGCGGACUGACUGGGAGCUUGCUCUUGUUCGGUCAGCGGCGGACGGGUGAGUAACACGUGGGCAACCUGCCCGCAAGACCGGGAUAACUCCGGGAAACCGGAGCUAAUACCGGAUAACACCGAAGACCGCAUGGUCUUUGGUUGAAAGGCGGCGCAAGCUGCCACUUGCGGAUGGGCCCGCGGCGCAUUAGCUAGUUGGUGAGGUAACGGCUCACCAAGGCGACGAUGCGUAGCCGGCCUGAGAGGGUGACAGGCCACACUGGGACUGAGACACGGCCCAGACUCCUACGGGAGGCAGCAGUAGGGAAUCUUCCGCAAUGGGCGAAAGCCUGACGGAGCGACGCCGCGUGAGCGAAGAAGGCCUUCGGGUCGUAAAGCUCUGUUGUGAGGGACGAAGGAGCGCCGUUUGAAGAAGGCGGCGCGGUGACGGUACCUCACGAGGAAGCCCCGGCUAACUACGUG